This 1372-nucleotide ribosomal RNA is filed under the name uncultured bacterium. RNAcentral's name for it is "bacterial SSU rRNA". It matches the Rfam family "Bacterial small subunit ribosomal RNA", at positions 28 to 1381 of the family's 1533-position model. The record is from RNAcentral.
GAUGAACGCUGGCGGCGUGCCUAAUACAUGCAAGUCGAGCGAACGGACGAGAAGCUUGCUUCUCUGAUGUUAGCGGCGGACGGGUGAGUAACACGUGGAUAACCUACCUAUAAGACUGGGAUAACUUCGGGAAACCAGAGCUAAUACAGGAUAAUAUUUUGAACCGCAUGGUUCAAAAGUGAAAGACGGUCUUGCUGUCACUUAUAGAUGGAUCCGCGCUGCAUUAGCUAGUUGGUAAGGUAACGGCUUACCAAGGCAACGAUGCAUAGCCGACCUGAGAGGGUGAUCGGCCACACUGGAACUGAGACACGGUCCAGACUCCUACGGGAGGCAGCAGUAGGGAAUCUUCCGCAAUGGGCGAAAGCCUGACGGAGCAACGCCGCGUGAGUGAUGAAGGUCUUCGGAUCGUAAAACUCUGUUAUUAGGGAAGAACAUAUGUGUAAGUAACUGUGCACAUCUUGACGGUACCUAAUCAGAAAGCCACGGCUAACUACGUGCCAGCAGCCGCGGUAAUACGUAGGUGGCAAGCGUUAUCCGGAAUUAUUGGGCGUAAAGCGCGCGUAGGCGGUUUUUUAAGUCUGAUGUGAAAGCCCACGGCUCAACCGUGGAGGGUCAUUGGAAACUGGAAAACUUGAGUGCAGAAGAGGAAAGUGGAAUUCCAUGUGUAGCGGUGAAAUGCGCAGAGAUAUGGAGGAACACCAGUGGCGAAGGCGACUUUCUGGUCUGUAACUGACGCUGAUGUGCGAAAGCGUGGGGAUCAAACAGGAUUAGAUACCCUGGUAGUCCACGCCGUAAACGAUGAGUGCUAAGUGUUAGGGGGUUUCCGCCCCUUAGUGCUGCAGCUAACGCAUUAAGCACUCCGCCUGGGGAGUACGACCGCAAGGUUGAAACUCAAAGGAAUUGACGGGGACCCGCACAAGCGGUGGAGCAUGUGGUUUAAUUCGAAGCAACGCGAAGAACCUUACCAAAUCUUGACAUCCUUUGACAACUCUAGAGAUAGAGCUUUCCCCUUCGGGGGGCAAAGUGACAGGUGGUGCAUGGUUGUCGUCAGCUCGUGUCGUGAGAUGUUGGGUUAAGUCCCGCAACGAGCGCAACCCUUAAGCUUAGUUGCCAUCAUUAAGUUGGGCACUCUAAGUUGACUGCCGGUGACAAACCGGAGGAAGGUGGGGAUGACGUCAAAUCAUCAUGCCCCUUAUGAUUUGGGCUACACACGUGCUACAAUGGACAAUACAAAGGGCAGCGAAACCGCGAGGUCAAGCAAAUCCCAUAAAGUUGUUCUCAGUUCGGAUUGUAGUCUGCAACUCGACUACAUGAAGCUGGAAUCGCUAGUAAUCGUAGAUCAGCAUGCUACGGUGAAUACGUUCCCGGGUCU